Non-coding RNA from Arachis ipaensis, 2367 nucleotides. The record is from RefSeq and is a predicted model, not a curated record. Lineage: Eukaryota; Viridiplantae; Streptophyta; Magnoliopsida; Fabales; Fabaceae.
AUUCACACUUUUACAGCACACAAAUCAUAGAAACCUAGCUAAACCUAGCAAUUUAACUUCAGAUCGAAGAACUCCCUUCUUCUCUCCGUCAACGGGCUCCUUCUUCUCCAUACCUCACCUACUGCUCCACCGCCGGCCACUCUAACCGCCGGAGCUAGCUUCUCCUUCUUCUCCUCUUUUUUAAACAAAGCAAGCUCAAGCUCCACCACUGCCGCACCUCAAUCUCCUUUUAUCCCCCUCAGUUCUGGCUGGCUUACCUUCACGCAAGCCCUAGCUCCAUGGCGACCAAAAUCGGUUCCACCGUCAGCCGCGGUUCCACCUCUCUCUUUCCCCCUAUUCGAACCGAUAGGGUGCGUGAACUAGUGGUUGUUCAUCGGAGAGACACUGGCGAUGCUCCUAUUCUCAAGCAUUCUAAAUUCAAGUAUUAGUUUGGGAGGGAACUUGACAAUGGUGGAUCUUCCUGGUAUAACUAGGGUUCCUGUUCAUGGCCAGCCUGAAAGUAUCUAUGAUCAGAUCAAGGAUAUUAUCAUGGAGUAUAUUAGGCCUGAAGAGAGCAUUAUUCUGAAUGUUCUUUCUGUUACCGUUGAUUUUACUACUUGUGAAUCCAUAAGAAUGUCUCAAUCUCUGGAUAAAACUGGAACAGGAUUGGCGAUGAAUCUUAUGAGGAGGCGAGGAUUGAAGAAGAGAGGCUUUUUGAGUCUCAUCCAAUGCUUUCAAAGAUUGACAAAUCCAUUGUUGGUGUUCCUGUUCUGGCACAGAGGCUAGUUCAAGUUCAAGGCAUGAUCAUAUCCAAAACUCUGCCCGAAAUUGUGAAGAAAAUCAAUGAGAAGCUGACUUACAAUUUAUCUGAGUUGGAUAAGUUGCCUGUGAAUCUAACCUGUGUUGCUGAUGCCAUGACUGCAUUUAUGCAUAUCAUUGGUUUAUCAAAAGAGUCAUUGAGGAAGAUUCUUCUGAGAAGGGAGUUUGAUGAGUACCCUGAUGAAAAGAAUAUGCACUGCACAGCAAGAUUUAGGAACAAAAGACUAUAUAAUUCCUGGAAAUGUGUCGAAUGUCAAAGUCAUACUCAAUGGUGGUCAGAGAGUUACUUUUUUGAGGCCUGAUGGAUAUUUCUCAUUGUAUCCUUUAAUUUACAUCUUCAUUUUAAACUCAUUUCAAUUUGCAUGAUAACUGCUAUUACAAUAAUACUUCAGGUCAUGUUUAAUUUGAUCUCUCUUUGCUGUCCUGAUAUUGCUUUUGCAAAGUUAUAGUUAAUGAUAGUUAUACUCAACCAGGAUUUGGAAAGAACCCAAUUUUGAUAGAGAACUGCUUUGAUUAUUGCCCAACUCAUCAGUAUUCUUUCACUUCAACAUCUCUAUGUCCAAUCUUUUCCAAGACCAAAUUGCUAAUCUAUGCCUUUGUUGCAGAGAACUACUUUGCUUGGCUUCUCAAAGUCUUGCGCUUCUGUUCUAACAUCGACCUUCUUCUAUUCUGUUUCCUUCUUGUUCUGACUGUUAUUUUUUCUAUUUCUGGAAGCUCCCCAUGUCGCCAAAAUCCUGAGAUGUUUGUAUUGUUGGUGUUGCAAGGACUCCAAUGGGGGAUCUACUUGGCAACCUAUCAUCUCUAUCAGCAACACAACUAGGCUCAAUUGUUAUCAACUAGGCUCAAUUGUUGCAGCUACCAUGCUUGCAGUACAUUGUAGAAGCAAGGAAGGGGUCUCGAUAUGGACAUGAUACGAUCAUUGAUGGUAUGAUCAAAGAUGGCCUUUGGGAUGUCUAUAAUGACUUUGGCAUGGGAGUUUGUGCAGAACUAUGUGCAGAUCAGCAUGUCAUAACAAGAGAUGAGAAGGACUCAUAUGCCAUUCAAAGCUUUGAGAGAGGAAUAGCUGCUCAAAAUGCUGGUCAUUUUUCUUGGGAAAUAGUUCCGGUUGAAGUUUCUGGUGGAAGAGGGAAACCCUCUAGAAUAGUUGAUAAAGAUGAAGGAUUGGGGAAGCUUUACAGGAGUUUGCUGAGAGGAAGGACAAUGGGAAGAUGGCUGAAGGAUUAAGAGGAGAGGAAAAAGCAGGAAAUUAGGACUCAUAAUGCUCAGUUGCAUGCUGCAGUAUCCGUGGCAGGCAUAGCUGCUGCCGUUGCAGCCAUUGCAACUUCAAUAGAGUGUACAUAGUAGCCAUAAGAAAGUGUACAUAGCUGCCAUAAAGUUCUACACUUACCAUAUGAGUGGUCUCUAGCUUAGCUUGCAUUGUUCAAGAAAUUUUAGAAAAUUCUAAGGAUACUACUCUACUAAUGUUUGUGAGACAUGGAUGUAAUUUUCACUCCAUAUGGAUGUAUAACUGUAUAUUAUUGAAUAAGUAGAGUUAUAUGCAAAGAAAUAUUAUAUAGAUAAUCUAUUUUU